AAGGAAAUGGCAGAUAGGUUAUGCAUCUGGCUUGAAACCAGCGUAGGGGGGUUCGAAUCCUUCUUUUCUUG
Molecule: transfer RNA, 71 nt
Filed under: Geotria australis
Lineage: Eukaryota; Metazoa; Chordata; Hyperoartia; Petromyzontiformes; Geotriidae
Description: tRNA-Ser
Rfam family: tRNA
About the family: Transfer RNA (tRNA) molecules are approximately 80 nucleotides in length. Their secondary structure includes four short double-helical elements and three loops (D, anti-codon, and T loops).
Source: RNAcentral